CACGUGAGCAACCUACCCUUGACACUGGGAUAACAGUUGGAAACAGCUGCUAAUACCGGAUAUGAACCUCUCAGGCAUCUGAGAGGUUGGAAAGCUCCGACGGUCAAGGAUGGGCUCGCGGCCUAUCAGCUUGUUGGUGAGGUAACGGCUCACCAAGGCGACGACGGGUAGCCGGCCUGAGAGGGCGACCGGCCACACUGGGACUGAGAUACGGCCCAGACUCCUACGGGAGGCAGCAGUGGGGAAUAUUGCGCAAUGGGCGAAAGCCUGACGCAGCAACGCCGCGUGCGGGAUGACGGCCUUCGGGUUGUAAACCGCUUUCAGCAGGGACGAAACUGACGGUACCUGCAGAAGAAGCACCGGCUAACUACGUG
This 374-nucleotide ribosomal RNA is filed under the name uncultured bacterium. RNAcentral's name for it is "bacterial SSU rRNA". It matches the Rfam family "Bacterial small subunit ribosomal RNA", at positions 114 to 507 of the family's 1533-position model. The record is from RNAcentral. RNAcentral also lists the same sequence under 1 other name.